RNAcentral lists this long non-coding RNA (1215 nucleotides) under Malus domestica (apple). RNAcentral describes it as "long non-coding RNA (MDOM_LNC004190)". Lineage: Eukaryota; Viridiplantae; Streptophyta; Magnoliopsida; Rosales; Rosaceae. The record is from RNAcentral.
UUUUUCCUUAUGUUUUACGUAAUAAUUGGUGUUUUCAACCUUACGGUUUAUACGGGUAUUAUACUACUAUAUUAUCAAGGAAGGAAGAAGGUAUGAGCUUGGAGGCAUGAAAGAAGAAUAAUUGCAAUCAAAUUGUAACGGAAUGACAUUCUCUUUUAUGCAGCCACUCUAACUUGAUUUCUUCCUUGUGUAUGUAUUUAUAUACAUAUUUUCUCCCUAUUUUCGAGUAUUUUACAUUUAGCAAGUUAUUUUAAAUUUCCAGGAUGAAAUUUUUUUAAGGGGGGUAGAUUGUAACGACCUGUCCCCAAAAAUUAUAGUCUUUAUAAUUUUUAAUAUGAAUUUAUAGAAAUGCCCUUCAAGGUCAAGACGUUGACUUUGUUGACCAUCUUGUCAUGUCAUGUAAGGUUCGUUAUCCUCAUAGUACUCAUCGCUGCGAACGCGUGGGCGCAAAUGGAAUGUAAUUUGAAGUUAUAACGAAUGAGUUAUUAACAAAUGAAGUCGAGGGCAAAAUUGUAAAUUUAUUAUUUUCUAGAAUGCUCUAGGUUUUCGGAGCAAAAUCUAGAAAGCCACGUGUGUGGCCCAGAUAAUUGGGAGAAGAGAGAAAAGUAAGUGACCAAUGGGAAGAGAGACCAGGAAGGAAAUGAGGGAAAAGGAGAUGGAGGGAAUCGGUCAGGUUCCCCUUGACCCGCGUGAUGACCCGACUUCCAUCACCACCAAACCUCACCACAACACCCCAUCACCUAAUUCUAACCAAACCUGACGAAUUUUUGCCCCAAUGUGGUAAGAAAACCCACUGAGGGGUCCGGGUGGGUCUCAGCCUUGAAUCACCAUUAUGAAACGAUUUCUAUUGAUCUCUACCACCAUUAGACUCUCCUUGAACCCAAGAACAAACCCCAGCCAACCAUAGAGGUGGCGGAGCACCGGAGGAGUCGAAUCAAUGCACACCCAAAUCUAGGGUUCCGAUGGGUUUGGAUGAAAUUGAGGCUUUUCCUGACCAAAUUGGUCUUAGUCAUAGGUAUGAAAGUUAUUACUCUCAUCGAGAUCUUCAUUCCUGUAAAAUUUGGGAAUUUUUGGAGUUGUUGGAUUUUCUGGCGAGUCGGGGCGACCAAUCGCCACAUGCAGCAGCGGAUACGGUGGCGCGUGGGGUAAAAACCCGAGGUCCUUCCUUAGGUUCCUCGACAUACCGGACCUGAAUCCACCCUUGUUUUUUGAAAU